This 301-nucleotide ribosomal RNA is filed under the name uncultured bacterium. RNAcentral's name for it is "partial 16S ribosomal RNA". It matches the Rfam family "Bacterial small subunit ribosomal RNA", at positions 509 to 807 of the family's 1533-position model. The record is from RNAcentral.
CAGCAGCCGCGGUAAUACGUAGGGUGCGAGCGUUAAUCGGAAUUACUGGGCGUAAAGCGUGCGCAGGCGGUUCGUUAGGACAGAUGUGAAAUCCCCGGGCUUAACCUGGGAACUGCAUUUGUGACUGGCGAGCUAGAGUAUGGCAGAGGGGGGUAGAAUUCCACGUGUAGCAGUGAAAUGCGUAGAGAUGUGGAGGAAUACCGAUGGCGAAGGCAGCCCCCUGGGCCAAUACUGACGCUCAUGCACGAAAGCGUGGGGAGCAAACAGGAUUAGAUACCCCAGUAGUCCCUGUCUCUUAUAC